Molecule: ribosomal RNA, 253 nt
Filed under: uncultured bacterium
Lineage: Bacteria
Description: partial 16S ribosomal RNA
Rfam family: Bacterial small subunit ribosomal RNA
Source: RNAcentral
UACGUAGGGUGCGAGCGUUGUCCGGAAUUACUGGGCGUAAAGAGCUCGUAGGUGGUUUGUCGCGUUGUCCGUGAAAACUCACAACUCAAUUGUGGGCGUGCGGGCGAUACGGGCAGACUGGAGUACUGCAGGGGAGACUGGAAUUCCUAGUGUAGCGGUGGAAUGCGCAGAUAUCAGGAGGAACACCGGUGGCGAAGGCGGGUCUCUGGGCAGUAACUGACGCUGAGGAGCGAAAGCGUGGGGAGCGAACAGG